AGUUUGAUCAUGGCUCAGGAUGAACGCUGGCGGCGUGCCUAACACAUGCAAGUCGAGCGAUUCUCUUCGGAGAAGAGCGGCGGACGGGUGAGUAACGCGUGGGUAACCUGCCCUGUACACACGGAUAACAUACCGAAAGGUAUGCUAAUACGAGAUAAUAUACUUUUAUCGCAUGGUAGAAGUAUCAAAGCUUUUGCGGUACAGGAUGGACCCGCGUCUGAUUAGCUAGUUGGUAAGGUAACGGCUUACCAAGGCGACGAUCAGUAGCCGACCUGAGAGGGUGAUCGGCCACAUUGGAACUGAGACACGGUCCAAACUCCUACGGGAGGCAGCAGUGGGGAAUAUUGCACAAUGGGCGAAAGCCUGAUGCAGCAACGCCGCGUGAGCGAUGAAGGCCUUCGGGUCGUAAAGCUCUGUCCUCAAGGAAGAUAAUGACGGUACUUGAGGAGGAAGCCCCGGCUAACUACGUG
This 470-nucleotide ribosomal RNA is filed under the name uncultured bacterium. RNAcentral describes it as "bacterial SSU rRNA". It matches the Rfam family "Bacterial small subunit ribosomal RNA", at positions 10 to 507 of the family's 1533-position model. The record is from RNAcentral.